RNAcentral lists this long non-coding RNA (1496 nucleotides) under Ictidomys tridecemlineatus (thirteen-lined ground squirrel). RNAcentral's name for it is "lncRNA (ENSSTOG00000031719.1)". The record is from RNAcentral. Lineage: Eukaryota; Metazoa; Chordata; Mammalia; Rodentia; Sciuridae.
CUGUAGGAGUGUUUCGGUUCUUCUCUCCCAGCGAGAUCGCCAAUCCCAGAAAGAGAUUAGCUGGGGACCCGGGGGAGGAUGCCAAGCUGGUCUCCCGCACUUUCUCUCAACCUGGGAGUUGGGGCUGCCCGGAAUCCCGGGCCCUUGCGAGAGGCAGGCCUCUGCUCCUCCUCCGCAGGGGCCAUACCCCUCACACACGCCCUCCCACGACACACACGCCAUCAAUCUAGCCGAUAGGCGCCGCUCCCACGCGCACACCCCUGCCCCUCGCACGAGGGGGCCCUGUCGCCAGGCCCCUUCCCUGGCACUCCCACCCCCGCCCGCUGCUGAGGCUCCAGAUGGCGGCUUCUUGCGCUCGGCUCGCGGGCCCCCAGACGCCGCCCGGCAGCAGCCGGCGGUCGCUCCCUCCCUCCCAGCUGCUGCGGCGGAGAGCCGGACCACUUUGCAAGGCAGACGGGCUCCUCCGCAAGCUCUCAUUGGGGCGGGAGUGUGGCCGCGGGUGGCGCGGGGAUGCCGAGGGACCCGCGGGAGCUUCGCUCUGGGUAAAGGAGCCCUGCGGCCGCAGGUAAGGAAGCCGCAGAGAGCUGCUCAGGGAAUAGAUGGGGAAGCCUGACACUGGGGACCACCCCCACCUACCCCCACUGUCUCCCUUGUCCUUUUUUUCCGUCCCAACCACCGAGCCAGGGUCAAUUGCUGGACCAGAGCACCCACGCGACAGCAGGGAGCGGCUUCGCGGACGCCAGAAGGGGGCGCCCAGCACCCCAAAACCCGGGCAGGAGGCAGCCUCUGCCUGGGCGUCCCGCCCAGCCCAGCUGAAGGCUGCUUCGAUCGGAAAGGUGCCCCCUUCUGCCUGAGAGCAGUAAUACCUACCGCCAGCCGCGACCACCUACUUGUCCAUUUUUCUCCUCUCAACUCACUGCUCGCACUACCACCCUUGCACGCGCUCGCUCUUUUUCAGAGUCUCCCCCCCCCUCUCUCUCUGUCUCUCCUCUCCCUACCCUCAUUCUUUCCUGGUUUUCUUCCUUCUCUCCGAUUUUCCCCCUUGGGUUCCUACACCGAUUCUGUGAGGUUUUAUGUGCCCCUAAAAGGUGGCGUGGAGGUCAUGUGUUUCAGGCUCCUCUCCCUAGGUGCCUCCUUGGGUGGCCCCGAAAGCAGCCCUGAGGAAGGCAACUAUUGGAGGUUGACGUCAUUCUGUUCCGGGGAUAGGAGACAGCAACAGUUUGCUAUAUACAGAUACACAAGGAAAACCAAAGCUAUUCAGGCUCCUCAUUUGUCCAGCAGCCUAACAGUGGUGCCCUUUCUGUGCGGCUGCUUUCCCUGCUUCAGGAGCAGCAGUUAUGGUAGAAGCAGAUGGCUACUGAUUGGGGGAGCUUUGUGGCUCUAAUGCUGAAUACUUUAUGGAAAAGGACUUUAUCAUGCUUCGUUGGGCAGAGGAACAAGGGGAUGAGAUUUAUGGCCAGGAAAAAUAAAUCUUUUUCCAAGUUGUGGCUCCUUCU